AUACCACUUGUUGCCUCGGCGGAUCAGCCCGCUCCCGGUAAAACGGGACGGCCCGCCAGAGGACCCCUAAACUCUGUUUCUAUAUGUAACUUCUGAGUAAAACCAUAAAUAAAUCAAAACUUUCAACAACGGAUCUCUUGGUUCUGGCAUCGAUGAAGAACGCAGCAAAAUGCGAUAAGUAAUGUGAAUUGCAGAAUUCAGUGAAUCAUCGAAUCUUUGAACGCACAUUGCGCCCGCCAGUAUUCUGGCGGGCAUGCCUGUUCGAGCGUCAUUUCAACCCUCAAGCACAGCUUGGUGUUGGGACUCGCGUUAAUUCGCGUUCCUCAAAUUAAUUGGCGGUCACGUCGAGCUUCCAUAGCGUAGUAGUAAAACCCUCGUUACUGGUAAUCGUCGCGGCCACGCCGUUAAACCCCAACUUCUGAAUGUUGACCUCGGAUCAGGUAGGAAUACCCGCUGAACUUAAGCAUAUCA
This 471-nucleotide ribosomal RNA is filed under the name Fusarium oxysporum. RNAcentral describes it as "eukaryotic LSU rRNA". The stretch from base 118 to 271 matches the Rfam family "5.8S ribosomal RNA". Lineage: Eukaryota; Fungi; Ascomycota; Sordariomycetes; Hypocreales; Nectriaceae. The record is from RNAcentral.